This 59-nucleotide transfer RNA is filed under the name Alectorobius puertoricensis. Its description in RNAcentral is "tRNA-Arg". The record is from RNAcentral. Lineage: Eukaryota; Metazoa; Arthropoda; Arachnida; Ixodida; Argasidae.
AAAAGUGAAGCAAUUAUUGCAAUCAGUUUCGACCUGACCCGAGGGAAAUCCCAUUUUUA